Molecule: ribosomal RNA, 2519 nt
Filed under: Listeria monocytogenes
Lineage: Bacteria; Bacillati; Bacillota; Bacilli; Caryophanales; Listeriaceae
Description: partial 23S ribosomal RNA
Rfam family: Bacterial large subunit ribosomal RNA
Source: RNAcentral
CUGAGUACGGCGGAACACGUGAAAUUCCGUCGGAAUCCGGGAGGACCAUCUCCCAAGGCUAAAUACUCCCUAGUGACCGAUAGUGAACCAGUACCGUGAGGGAAAGGUGAAAAGCACCCCGGAAGGGGAGUGAAACAGUUCCUGAAACCGUGUGCCUACAAGUAGUUAGAGCCCGUUAAUGGGUGAUAGCGUGCCUUUUGUAGAAUGAACCGGCGAGUUACGAUUUGUUGCAAGGUUAAGCGGAAAAAGCGGAGCCGUAGCGAAAGCGAGUCUGAAUAGGGCGCAUAAGUAACAGGUCGUAGACCCGAAACCAGGUGAUCUACCCAUGUCCAGGAUGAAGGUAAGGUAAUACUUACUGGAGGUCCGAACCCACGCACGUUGAAAAGUGCGGGGAUGAGGUGUGGGUAGCGGAGAAAUUCCAAUCGAACUUGGAGAUAGCUGGUUCUCUCCGAAAUAGCUUUAGGGCUAGCCUCGAGGUAAAGAGUCAUGGAGGUAGAGCACUGUUUGGACUAGGGGCCCUUCUCGGGUUACCGAAUUCAGAUAAACUCCGAAUGCCAUGUACUUAUACUCGGGAGUCAGACUGCGAGUGAUAAGAUCCGUAGUCGAAAGGGAAACAGCCCAGACCACCAGUUAAGGUCCCCAAAUAUAUGUUAAGUGGAAAAGGAUGUGGGGUUGCUUAGACAACCAGGAUGUUGGCUUAGAAGCAGCCACCAUUGAAAGAGUGCGUAAUAGCUCACUGGUCGAGUGACCCCGCGCCGAAAAUGUACCGGGGCUAAACAUAUUACCGAAACUGUGGAUGAACCUCUUUAGAGGUUCGUGGUAGGAGAGCGUUCUAAGGGCGGUGAAGUCAGACCGGAAGGACUGGUGGAGCGCUUAGAAGUGAGAAUGCCGGUAUGAGUAGCGAAAGAAGGGUGAGAAUCCCUUCCACCGAAUAUCUAAGGUUUCCUGAGGAAGGCUCGUCCGCUCAGGGUUAGUCGGGACCUAAGCUGAGGCCGAUAGGCGUAGGCGAUGGACAACAGGUAGAGAUUCCUGUACCAGUGCUAAUUGUUUAACCGAUGGGGUGACACAGAAGGAUAGGGAAUCGCACGAAUGGAAAUGUGCGUCCAAGCAGUGAGUGUGAGAAGCAGGCAAAUCCGCUUCUCGCGAAGCAUGAGCUGUGAUGGGGAAGGAAAUUAAGUACGGAAGUUCCUGAUUUCACGCUGUCAAGAAAAGCCUCUAGGAAGAGUAGUACUGCCCGUACCGCAAACCGACACAGGUAGAUGAGGAGAGAAUCCUAAGGUGAGCGAGAGAACUCUCGUUAAGGAACUCGGCAAAAUGACCCCGUAACUUCGGGAGAAGGGGUGCUCUAUUAGGGUGCAAGCCCGAGAGAGCCGCAGUGAAUAGGCCCAGGCGACUGUUUAGCAAAAACACAGGUCUCUGCAAAACCGUAAGGUGACGUAUAGGGGCUGACGCCUGCCCGGUGCUGGAAGGUUAAGAGGAGUGCUUAGCUUCGGCGAAGGUACGAAUUGAAGCCCCAGUAAACGGCGGCCGUAACUAUAACGGUCCUAAGGUAGCGAAAUUCCUUGUCGGGUAAGUUCCGACCCGCACGAAAGGCGCAACGAUCUGGGCACUGUCUCAACGAGAGACUCGGUGAAAUUAUAGUACCUGUGAAGAUGCAGGUUACCCGCGACAGGACGGAAAGACCCCGUGGAGCUUUACUGCAACCUGAUAUGGAAUGUUUGUACCGCUUGUACAGGAUAGGUAGGAGCCGAAGAGACGUGUGCGCUAGCAUACGAGGAGGCAAUGGUGGGAUACUACCCUGGCUGUAUGACCAUUCUAACCCGCCACGCUUAGCGCGUGGGGAGACAGUGUCAGGUGGGCAGUUUGACUGGGGCGGUCGCCUCCUAAAGAGUAACGGAGGCGCCCAAAGGUUCCCUCAGAAUGGAUGGAAAUCAUUCGCAGAGUGUAAAGGCACAAGGGAGCUUGACUGCGAGACUGACAAGUCGAGCAGGGACGAAAGUCGGGCUUAGUGAUCCGGUGGUUCCGCAUGGAAGGGCCAUCGCUCAACGGAUAAAAGCUACCCCGGGGAUAACAGGCUUAUCUCCCCCAAGAGUCCACAUCGACGGGGAGGUUUGGCACCUCGAUGUCGGCUCGUCGCAUCCUGGGGCUGUAGUCGGUCCCAAGGGUUGGGCUGUUCGCCCAUUAAAGCGGCACGCGAGCUGGGUUCAGAACGUCGUGAGACAGUUCGGUCCCUAUCCGUCGCGGGCGCAGGAAAUUUGAGAGGAGCUGUCCUUAGUACGAGAGGACCGGGAUGGACACACCGCUGGUGUACCAGUUGUUCCGCCAGGAGCAUCGCUGGGUAGCUAUGUGUGGCAGGGAUAAACGCUGAAAGCAUCUAAGCGUGAAGCCCCCCUCAAGAUGAGAUUUCCCAUUUCUUCGGAAAGUAAGAUCCCUGAAAGAUGAUCAGGUAGAUAGGUUUGGAGUGGAAGUGUAGCGAUACAUGGAGCGGACAAAUACUAAUCGAUCGAGGACUUAACCAA